CGAAAGCGUAGCUAAUACCGCAUACGCCCUACGGGGGAAAGCAGGGGAUCGCAAGACCUUGCACUAUUAGAGCGGCCGAUAUCGGAUUAGCUAGUUGGUGGGGUAACGGCUCACCAAGGCGACGAUCCGUAGCUGGUUUGAGAGGACGACCAGCCACACUGGGACUGAGACACGGCCCAGACUCCUACGGGAGGCAGCAGUGGGGAAUUUUGGACAAUGGGGGAAACCCUGAUCCAGCCAUCCCGCGUGUGCGAUGAAGGCCUUCGGGUUGUAAAGCACUUUUGGCAGGAAAGAAACGUCAUGGGCUAAUACCCCGUGAAACUGACGGUACCUGCAGAAUAAGCACCGGCUAACUACGUGCCAGCAGCCGCGGUAAUACGUAGGGUGCAAGCGUUAAUCGGAAUUACUGGGCGUAAAGCGUGCGCAGGCGGUUCGGAAAGAAAGAUGUGAAAUCCCAGAGCUUAACUUUGGAACUGCAUUUUUAACUACCGAGCUAGAGUGUGUCAGAGGGAGGUGGAAUUCCGCGUGUAGCAGUGAAAUGCGUAGAUAUGCGGAGGAACACCGAUGGCGAAGGCAGCCUCCUGGGAUAACACUGACGCUCAGC
RNAcentral lists this ribosomal RNA (604 nucleotides) under Achromobacter sp. RNAcentral describes it as "bacterial SSU rRNA". It matches the Rfam family "Bacterial small subunit ribosomal RNA", at positions 152 to 752 of the family's 1533-position model. The record is from RNAcentral. Lineage: Bacteria; Pseudomonadati; Pseudomonadota; Betaproteobacteria; Burkholderiales; Alcaligenaceae.